UCUGGCUCAGGAUGAACGCUGGCGGCGUGCCUAACACAUGCAAGUCGAACGGGGUUACUGGCAGCGAGAUUCGGUCAAAGCAGCCUUUAACCUAGGUGGCGGACGGGUGAGUAACGCGUGGGGAACCUGCCCUGGUACUGGGGGGAUAACAGUGAGAAAUCACUGCUAAUACCGCAUAAGCGCACAGCAUCGCAUGAUGCAGUGUGAAAAACUGAGGUGGUACAGGAUGGCUCCGCGUUGGAUUAGCCAGUUGGCGGGUAACGGCCCACCAAAGCGACGAUCCAUAGCCGGCCUGAGAGGGUGAACGGCCACAUUGGGACUGAGACACGGCCCAGACUCCUACGGGAGGCAGCAGUGGGGAAUAUUGCACAAUGGGGGAAACCCUGAUGCAGCGAACCGCCGCGUGAAGGAAGAAGUAUCUCGGUAUGUAAAGCUCUAUCAGCAGGGAAGAUGAUGACGGUACCUGACUAAGAAGCACCGGCUAAAUACGUGCCAGCCGCCGC
RNAcentral lists this ribosomal RNA (503 nucleotides) under uncultured bacterium. RNAcentral's name for it is "bacterial SSU rRNA". It matches the Rfam family "Bacterial small subunit ribosomal RNA", at positions 18 to 518 of the family's 1533-position model. The record is from RNAcentral.